GAUGAACGCUGGCGGCGUGCCUAAUAUAUGCAAGUCGAGCGAACGGACGAGAAGCUUGCUUUUCUGAUGUUAGCGGCGGACGGGUGAGUAACACGUGGAUAACCUACCUAUAAGACUGGGAUAACUUCGGGAAACCGGAGCUAAUACCGGAUAAUAUUUUGAACCGCAUGGUUCAAAAGUGAAAGACGGUCUUGCUGUCACUUAUAGAUGGAUCCGCGCUGCAUUAGCUAGUUGGUAAGGUAACGGCUUACCAAGGCAACGAUGCAUAGCCGACCUGAGAGGGUGAUCGGCCACACUGGAACUGAGACACGGUCCAGACUCCUACGGGAGGCAGCAGUAGGGAAUCUUCCGCAAAGGGCGAAAGCCUGACGGAGCAACGCCGCGUGAGUGAUGAAGGUCUUCGGAUCGUAAAACUCUGUUAUUAGGGAAGAACAUAUGUGUAAGUAACUGUGCACAUCUUGACGGUACCUAAUCAGAAAGCCACGGCUAACUACGUG
RNAcentral lists this ribosomal RNA (497 nucleotides) under uncultured bacterium. Its description in RNAcentral is "partial 16S ribosomal RNA". It matches the Rfam family "Bacterial small subunit ribosomal RNA", at positions 28 to 507 of the family's 1533-position model. The record is from RNAcentral.